RNAcentral lists this long non-coding RNA (457 nucleotides) under Solanum tuberosum (potato). Its description in RNAcentral is "long non-coding RNA (STUB_LNC002703)". Lineage: Eukaryota; Viridiplantae; Streptophyta; Magnoliopsida; Solanales; Solanaceae. The record is from RNAcentral.
AGUGGCCCGUUUCAUAUGCAAAGGGGUUGGAGAAGAGUUCAGCGAACUCAUACGAUGGUGGCAUACAGAGGAAACAAAAACAAGAGUUAGCCAGCUAUAAAUUUUCUGGUGGAAAUGAAUCACAACUUCUAAAAAUAUAAAACUAGAGCUCAACACUAUAACGACAAAAAUUCAAACAAGCAAGAUUAUAAUAGUCAUAAUAUAUAUCUCCCUUGGAGCAAAAUGAUAUUACCCACCCGUGGAAUAUGCCAUUCAAUUAGUAACCAAAAGAAAAAAAAAUCACAUAAAACAAAAAAUAAAAUAAAAUCCCUUAAUAACAUAUCUAAGCACCUGGAUACUUAUUCUUGAGUAUAAGUACAGAAUUAGCCAUUAUAAGAAAUAUAUAUAUUUAUAGAUACUUAUCACUAAACAUCUAUGCAAAUUAAAAUCAAAAUAUGCACAUUAACCCACAUAUCAC